RNAcentral lists this ribosomal RNA (425 nucleotides) under uncultured bacterium. RNAcentral's name for it is "bacterial SSU rRNA". It matches the Rfam family "Bacterial small subunit ribosomal RNA", at positions 356 to 772 of the family's 1533-position model. The record is from RNAcentral.
GGGGAAUUGUUCGCAAUGGGCGCAAGCCUGACGACGCAACGCCGCGUGGAGGAUGAAGAUCUUCGGGUCGUAAACUCCUGUCGAGCGGGACGAAUGCCUUGCCGGUGAAUAUCCGGCGAGGGUGACGGUACCGCUAAAGGAAGCCCCGGCUAACUACGUGCCAGCAGCCGCGGUAAUACGUAGGGGGCAAGCGUUGUCCGGAAUCAUUGGGCGUAAAGCGCGUGUAGGCGGCUCAGUAAGUCCGCUCUGAAAGCCCGGGGCUCAACCCCGGGAGGCGGGUGGAUACUGCUGAGCUCGAGUCCGGAAGAGGAGUGUGGAAUUCCUGGUGUAGCGGUGAAAUGCGCAGAUAUCAGGAGGAACACCAAUGGCGAAGGCAGCACUCUGGGACGGUACUGACGCUGAGACGCGAAAGCGUGGGGAGCAAA